GUGGGUAACCUGCCUGUAAGACUGGGAUAACUCCGGGAAACCGGGGCUAAUACCGGAUGCUUGUUUGAACCGCAUGGUUCAAACAUAAAAGGUGGCUUCGGCUACCACUUACAGAUGGACCCGCGGCGCAUUAGCUAGUUGGUGAGGUAAUGGCUCACCAAGGCAACGAUGCGUAGCCGACCUGAGAGGGUGAUCGGCCACACUGGGACUGAGACACGGCCCAGACUCCUACGGGAGGCAGCAGUAGGGAAUCUUCCGCAAUGGACGAAAGUCUGACGGAGCAACGCCGCGUGAGUGAUGAAGGUUUUCGGAUCGUAAAGCUCUGUUGUUAGGGAAGAACAAGUACCGUUCGAAUAGGGCGGUACCUUGACGGUACCUAACCAGAAAGCCACGGCUAACUACGUGCCAGCAGCCGCGGUAAUACGUAGGUGGCAAGCGUUGUCCGGAAUUAUUGGGCGUAAAGGGCUCGCAGGCGGUUUCUUAAGUCUGAUGUGAAAGCCCCCGGCUCAACCGGGGAGGGUCAUUGGAAACUGGGGAACUUGAGUGCAGAAGAGGAGAGUGGAAUUCCACGUGUAGCGGUGAAAUGCGUAGAGAUGUGGAGGAACACCAGUGGCGAAGGCGACUCUCUGGUCUGUAACUGACGCUGAGGAGCGAAAGCGUGGGGAGCGAACAGGAUUAGAUACCCUGGUAGUCCACGCCGUAAACGAUGAGUGCUAAGUGUUAGGGGGUUUCCGCCCCUUAGUGCUGCAGCUAACGCAUUAAGCACUCCGCCUGGGGAGUACGGUCGCAAGACUGAAACUCAAAGGAAUUGACGGGGGCCCGCACAAGC
Molecule: ribosomal RNA, 829 nt
Filed under: Bacillus subtilis
Lineage: Bacteria; Bacillati; Bacillota; Bacilli; Caryophanales; Bacillaceae
Description: bacterial SSU rRNA
Rfam family: Bacterial small subunit ribosomal RNA
Source: RNAcentral